This 490-nucleotide ribosomal RNA is filed under the name uncultured bacterium. RNAcentral describes it as "partial 16S ribosomal RNA". It matches the Rfam family "Bacterial small subunit ribosomal RNA", at positions 30 to 507 of the family's 1533-position model. The record is from RNAcentral.
AUUGAACGCUGGCGGCAGGCCUAACACAUGCCAGUCGAACGGUAACAGGAAGAAGCUUGCUUCUUUGCUGACGAGUGGCGGACGGGUGAGUAAUGUCUGGGAAACUGCCUGAUGGAGGGGGAUAACUACUGGAAACGGUAGCUAAUACCGCAUAACGUCGCAAGACCAAAGAGGGGGACCUUCGGGCCUCUUGCCAUCGGAUGUGCCCAGAUGGGAUUAGCUAGUAGGUGGGGUAACGGCUCACCUAGGCGACGAUCCCUAGCUGGUCUGCGAGGAUGACCAGCCACACUGGAACUGAGACACGGUCCAGACUCCUACGGGAGGCAGCAGUGGGGAAUAUUGCACAAUGGGCGCAAGCCUGAUGCAGCCAUGCCGCGUGUAUGAAGAAGGCCUUCGGGUUGUAAAGUACUUUCAGCGGGGAGGAAGGGAGUAAAGUUAAUACCUUUGCUCAUUGACGUUACCCGCAGAAGAAGCACCGGCUAACUCCGUG